This 67-nucleotide transfer RNA is filed under the name Mycopsylla gardenensis. RNAcentral describes it as "tRNA-Pro". Lineage: Eukaryota; Metazoa; Arthropoda; Insecta; Hemiptera; Carsidaridae. The record is from RNAcentral.
UCAAUAGGUAAUUUAAUUUAAAUUAAAAUAUUAGUUUUGGAUACUAACAAUAUAUUUUAUUCUAUUG